UUGAAUUCCCAAUACCUCCGAAAUUGACUCCCUCGGAAACCCAACCCGUCGAAUUCCCCGCCACCAUCUUCCGCCGUUAGAACCGAUGGCCCUCUCCACCCCUCCACCGCCCCCUGGCCCUUCUUCCACCAUCAGAACACGGCCACUCUACCCUGACCUCCGGCCCCCUAACUCUCAGCCCCUUCCCUUUAUUCACCCCCGUCCAGACGCCCUUUCAAUCCCAAUCCCAAUUAUCCUCAAUUAGCUCCCCUGCCACUCCACCCACAGGAUCCUUCGCAGCUUCUCUACCCCGUUGUCAACUCCAGCCGCUGCUUCGUUCUGGUACCGGGACCUCCCUCGAGACCGCCGUUCGUGUUCCCCCACCCGGACCCAGUUCAGUUGCAGGAAAGGCCAUGUUAUUCCGGACCGAUUCAUUUGCUUGCAUCCGGACGAUGUUCUGCCGCUCAUGUUGGUGGUGGAUUCUUGCCUGGUGUGGUUAAAGGAAUUCCUUUCUCAUCUUUUCUCCGCCCAAAGAGAUAGAAGUAGGAAUGAUACUUUAGCAGUUGUUAGAGAUAGGAAGGUCAAAGCAUCUGAUAGUGCUUCCCUUUAUACCCUUUGUAGGUCAUGGUUGAGGAACGGUAUUCCUGAAGAAAUUCAGCCGCUCUACUUGGAUGCUGUAAAGUCUCUUCCCAGACCUUUCCCUGUAACUCUACUAGAUUCUGAUUCAACUGGGAAAAGGGAAGAUAAAGAAGAGGAAAAUGAGGUUGGUGCUUGAAAUUAAUGCUAGUGUAUCUUUGUAAUAAGGAAUUGCAGCCCGGAGAGAUGCGGUACCAAGGCAAUGAAAUACAAUGUCUGCAUGGCAAUCAUUAUUUGUUUAUAAUAUGAAUGGAUGAGGGAUCUGUUGAGCAUUUAUCUACAAAGGAGCUCUUGUAAAGAUAUGUCAAGCAUUCUAAGAGAGUUCGGUCACGAUUAAGAGAAGAAAGGCUCCAACGAAUUACAAGAUACAAAACCAGGCGCGCUCCUCUCUUAAUCCCAGUGGUCGAUCAAACACUUCAAAAGUGACUCUGCUGCGGCAAACUGAAAAAACCUCGUCUAUCUUACAUCAGUGGCAAUUUAAGAUGCAGGUAAAAAGUAAGAUAGCACAAUGUUUCACAUCAUGUAUUUUGGUUCUUUAACACUGAUUAGAGCCUCGAGAUUUCGAGAUUUUUCGUUUGCUUUUAAUUUGUGUCGUUAUCUCGUGGUCCUGAUCUGUAAUUGUAUAGUUUCUGAAAUUUAUAUUGUGUCAAGUUGGUGUCAAUUUGCCCAUAAAAUGGUCAGUAAAUUUGAUGUGGAAAUGAAAAUCGGAAGGUUCAAUCA
This is an RNA transcript of Olea europaea var. sylvestris, 1335 nucleotides long. RefSeq lists it as uncharacterized. The record is from RefSeq and is a predicted model, not a curated record. Lineage: Eukaryota; Viridiplantae; Streptophyta; Magnoliopsida; Lamiales; Oleaceae. The transcript is spliced from 6 exons.